GGCCGGGUCCCGCGCAACGGCGCCCCGCGAACCUCGUCAGGCCCGGAAGGGAGCAGCGAUAAGCGGAUAGCGGAGUGUGCCGCGGUCAAAUCCGGUCUCG
Molecule: signal recognition particle RNA, 100 nt
Filed under: Eubacteriales Family XIII. Incertae Sedis bacterium
Lineage: Bacteria; Bacillati; Bacillota; Clostridia; Peptostreptococcales; Anaerovoracaceae
Description: signal recognition particle sRNA small type
Rfam family: Bacterial small signal recognition particle RNA
About the family: The signal recognition particle (SRP) is a universally conserved ribonucleoprotein involved in the co-translational targeting of proteins to membranes. Archaeal SRP consists of a 7S RNA and homologues of the eukaryotic SRP19 and SRP54 proteins.
Source: RNAcentral